AGUGAACGCUGGCGGUAGGCCUAACACAUGCAAGUCGAACGGCAGCACAGGAGAGCUUGCUCUCUGGGUGGCGAGUGGCGGACGGGUGAGGAAUACAUCGGAAUCUACUCUGUCGUGGGGGAUAACGUAGGGAAACUUACGCUAAUACCGCAUACGACCUACGGGUGAAAGCAGGGGACCUUCGGGCCUUGCGCGAUUGAAUGAGCCGAUGUCGGAGUAGCUAGUUGGCGGGGUAAAGGCCCACCAAGGCGACGAUCCGUAGCGGGUCUGAGAGGAUGAUCAGCCACACUGGAACUGAGACACGGUCCAGACUCCUACGGGAGGCAGCAGUGGGGAAUAUUGGACAAUGGGCGCAAGCCUGAUCCAGCCAUACCGCGUGGGUGAAGAAGGCCUUCGGGUUGUAAAGCCCUUUUGUUGGGAAAGAAAUCCAGCUGGCUAAUACCCGGUUGGGAUGACGGUACCCAAAGAAUAAGCACCGGCUAACUUCGUGCCAGCAGCCGCAGUAA
Molecule: ribosomal RNA, 506 nt
Filed under: uncultured bacterium
Lineage: Bacteria
Description: partial 16S ribosomal RNA
Rfam family: Bacterial small subunit ribosomal RNA
Source: RNAcentral